CUGGAGGACUAAGAAAGUAGAACCAGUGAAGUCAGUUGGCUCUACUGAUACUAUCCUCCUAAAUUAAGUGGCAGAAGAACAAGGUCUUGCCUAUGAGACUUAUCCAGAUCUUACUGCUGUUGGCCAACAAUG
Podarcis muralis (Common wall lizard) is the source of this 132-nucleotide non-coding RNA. Ensembl annotates it as small Cajal body-specific RNA 15. Lineage: Eukaryota; Metazoa; Chordata; Lepidosauria; Squamata; Lacertidae. The record is from Ensembl.